Molecule: long non-coding RNA, 680 nt
Organism: Gorilla gorilla gorilla (western lowland gorilla)
Lineage: Eukaryota; Metazoa; Chordata; Mammalia; Primates; Hominidae
Exons: 2
Source: RefSeq, a predicted model, not a curated record
UUUACCUUGUGAGGAAAAAGUGGGUUUUAAAAAAUUGAUUUUAUUACAUUGAUCAGAUGUAACUUUAGUUAAAACUGAAGCCAAAAUUCCAGCAUUUGUCAAAAUUCUAUAUAGAAGGCAGUCCCAGCUGUCUGAAUAGGAUUAUGUACACAUAAGCUGUAUGAAAUGAGCUCAUGCCUCAUGAUGUCAAGUUCUGUUUUUUGUCUGCGGUUCUUUUGUUUAUUCUCAGUUGCCAGACUUUAAAAGACUUCACUGUUUACCAUUUUAUAAUUAAGGUUUAAUUGUGUCUAUUUAAUGUGUUAUUCUGUUGCCACAGAUGCAAACUUCGUUUUUUAAAAACAUGAUAUCUAAAAAGCAGAAUGUGCGGAGUCUUUUCUUUGCCAAGCAAAACAGUUUCCACCACAUCUUGUCUAUAGAUGACUACCUUUCUGGUCAAGCCUUUGGACAGCUCUUCAGUCAUCACACAGAGUAUCUCUGCUCUAGACCUCGCUGGAGUUCAAGCUUGAAUUAUUAUAUGCAAGUUAAUUUUACAAGCCUGGAUGAGGCUAUUGAAAACUGGAAAAAAGCUAUGAGACUGUAACAACCCUUCAUUCUUUUCCAUUUCCAAAGCUCUCUCCCCAUCUCAAGCUAGAAAAUAGUGUAACCAGACUACACAAUGGAACCACUCCUAAAAAAAUUAA